Long non-coding RNA from Argentina anserina (silverweed cinquefoil), 1311 nucleotides. RefSeq lists it as uncharacterized. The transcript is spliced from 4 exons. The record is from RefSeq and is a predicted model, not a curated record. Lineage: Eukaryota; Viridiplantae; Streptophyta; Magnoliopsida; Rosales; Rosaceae.
CACGCCUCUUUUUUCUAGAACGCUCCCCACGCGCCUAACUCAAAUUAUCUCUAGUGCUCUUCUCCUCUCGUCCAACUGCGCUGCGUCGUCGAUAUUGGCCCGCGGCCAAGCCGAUGUACGAUUUGCGUGGUCGGACGGGAAUGCUCUAGUGUUGUUGUGGAUGUAUUUGUGGUCCUUAGUUUCAAAUCGUAGAUUAGAUCUUCAGUUUUUUCCUCCUCCACUUUAGAUGGUUUCUACAUCGAAGGAAUUGGCAUUGUAGGAUGAUAGAUCGGAGCUGGGUUUGCUACGAAAAUGGUGUGAAGCCCCACGGUGAUCGGUGUUCGGCUUGGCGUUGGUAGUUCAACGGAGAGGCUCACGGGCAAGUUCAGAUGCCAAGGUUUUCACUUGAUUUUGUCUCCGAUCUAGAGGGUUGGUGGGUGAGCGGUGGGAAUCGUAGCUUUGCGCCACCGGUAGAAGACCGAUCCCAACAGUGUUUCGAAUGGUACGGCGGCAUCUCAGCGAAGGAUAGCUUUGAUGGAAUGGCGGUGCCGAUUUUGCCGUUCGGCAGACUAUUCGUCAUCGGAUUGGAUGCAGCAGUCGUUGGGAAAUGGGAGGGCAGAGCAGGGAUAUGUUACUUUGACUUCUUGGAGAUUGUCAAAUGACUACUAAUGGAGAACUUGCUUCUACAAACCCACUUCCAAACCCCUCUCCUCUAAGAAAUGCCAAAUUCUUUCAGGUUGAAAUGGUAGCAGAUGAUAUGAAUCUAGGAACAUGUACCCUUCUCCUCACUGGAUAUGUGCGAGCUCGUAGUCUUUCUGUAAAUCAACUGGGGAUUCCUAGUUGGGUAAAAUGGAAAUUCUGAAGGAUCCUUGUCCUUUAAAUGUAAGAAAAGAGUAGGAGUCAUGGAUGCAGUGGUAUGGGCUGUUCCAUGUUGUAGUUAGCAGUAGAUGCUUCUAUAUAAUUUUCUUAUUUUGCCAUUGAAUGGGUUUUGUAGAAUCGUUUGGCCCAGUGGUAAUGUAGAUAUUCUACAGUUUCAUUAUAUGUAAUUCUUAUCUGUUGCUAGAUAAUUUGAAAAAAGAGUUUAACUUUUUCUUCAUUGAACUUCAGGUAUUCUGAAUAUGUUGCUAUUUGCUUUGAAAGAGUUUGUCCAUAUCAAAGAAGGAUAGCAUCUGGGAAGGCACAGUUUUAUUUCCACAUGUAUUUUUAUGGAUGUAAUAGGAACUUUCAGUAGCUUAAUUUGUUGUGUAUUGUAGAAUAAAGUUUAGAUACUGAAUGUGAAUGAAGGGGUGCAAAUACUAAUACUAGUAAUUGCCUUUUUUUUAAUCCAGUUUA